RNAcentral lists this ribosomal RNA (209 nucleotides) under uncultured bacterium. RNAcentral describes it as "partial 16S ribosomal RNA". It matches the Rfam family "Bacterial small subunit ribosomal RNA", at positions 524 to 729 of the family's 1533-position model. The record is from RNAcentral.
UACGUAGGUGGCAAGCGUUGUCCGGAAUUAUUGGGCGUAAAGAGCUCGUAGGCGGUCUGUCGCGUCGAAUGAUGGAAAAUCCGGGGCUCAACCCCCGGACCUGCAUUCGAUACGGGCAGACUAGAGUUCGGUAGGGGAGUCUGGAAUUCCUGGUGUAGCGGUGAAAUGCGCAGAUAUCAGGAGGAACACCGGUGGCGAAGGCGGGACUC